UUGCCGGCCAUUCCCGGAGGCGGGAUAAGACGAACCAAACCCUAACCUUAACCCUAACCCUCGUCACUCUUCAACAUGGAGUUCUUGCCGUCCUUUCUGUUUGACUUCUAUUGAGGCAAUCAAAAUUGUACUCUCAAUGAAUGGUGCCAUCAACUGCUUCCACCAGGCCUACAUUUUGAAGACUGAGGCCUUGGUUGUUUUGCAAAAUUCACAAUCACUUUUGAAUUGAUGUAUUACCAUAGAGCUUCACAUUACUUCUACCAAAUGCUUUUUACCGAAUCGACUUCUAGAAUGAACAAACUACAAUGUGAAUUAAUUUUUUUUUUCUGCAACUGAAACUGGCAAAAGUUUUUAAUGCAGUCAUGAAGCUGAUUAGUUCAUAUUGUUCUAUUUCAGGUUAGUGUCAAAAAGCUGGAAAUUGGCAUAUGUAUUUUUGAUAAAGAAAUUAGCCUAGCUAUAAAUAAAAGACAGAAUGCAUGCCUUCCUUUGUUUGCAAGGGUAAAUGUAUUUAAUUGACAAGUGUCUUGCAAUUGAGGAACAUUGGGAUUAUUAAUUUUUUUUAUUUUUUUUUGUAAAAGUAACAAUUUACAGUUUUGAGAUUUAAUAAUUUAUUUAUUAUGAAAAUUGCAUGUAUACCAUACAAGUUCAUAUUUACAUGUA
Long non-coding RNA from Dioscorea cayenensis subsp. rotundata (Guinea yam), 660 nucleotides. RefSeq lists it as uncharacterized. NCBI's taxonomy places the organism in Eukaryota, Viridiplantae, Streptophyta, Magnoliopsida, Dioscoreales, Dioscoreaceae. The record is from RefSeq and is a predicted model, not a curated record. The transcript has 3 exons.